Molecule: long non-coding RNA, 1254 nt
Filed under: Gallus gallus (chicken)
Lineage: Eukaryota; Metazoa; Chordata; Aves; Galliformes; Phasianidae
Description: long non-coding RNA NONGGAT004337
Source: RNAcentral
CCUGGCCCCGCGCCGCCAGUGCUCCCCGCGGCCCGGUGCGAGGGGCGUUGUGAGGAGCCAGGUGUGGAGCACCGGCUGUAAUUAUUUUCUUAACAUUUUCGUGACUCCCGGGACCGGCAGUUGCUGCCGUUAAUGAUCCGCCAGGUUGCAGGCCCGAGGCAAAGCCCUGGGUCCUCAGCAGCUUUUGCUGGUCGUUUACCACCCAAACCCAUGCACUGUGAUGGUCAUUACUGCCCAGGCCCUUUCCUAGAAGAAGGCAUACAAGCAGACAGAACAAAAAGCUAUACAAAAUAUAGCCUUUCUGUAUAUUCCUGUACUUGGACACUCGUGCACGUGCUGGUGUGAAUUUAGAGAAGGUUUUCUACUCUGUGCAGGGCUGUACCUUUGAAACUCACCUCCUGUAAUUCACAAUCAGCCCACUAUCACUGCAAGCCUGAGCUGAGAUGGGCUGCGGCUUCCCUACCUGCUCCUCCUAGCGAAGAUUUGCCAUCAGUGCUGACAAGACAGUGGCAGCCUCACUAGCUGUAAGUGACAUCUCUCCUUGCUGACAAAAUAUCCCAUCAGCCCGUAUUAGUCUGGAGAGCGUGUCUCUCCCAAAAAGCCCUCGUAGGCACGAGUCACAAUGUGAAAGCCCUACCAUCAGGGCAACAGUCAAAUUUUAUUCUCAGGCUGGCCUCACAUGUUAACUUAUCACCAAACUAAACUCUGCUGAAAGGCUGGAGCUUGUAUUCACAUAGGGUGGAAAUUGGUUCCACUGGGAGAGCUUCAAAGUCAUUUCAGCCAUUAAACUGUGGCUGGAUGUAUCAUAAGUACAGGAGAGGUCGAGGCACUGCCUGUGAACCACGGGGACUUGGUAAAGAAGUUCCUGGGAAAUUGGCAGAGCUAUUGUGUAUUCUGUUUCAGUCUGGCUCUGCAGCGGGAGCGAGUCGCGUCUGUACAUGAGACUCAUUAUGCUUCCUCUGUUUAACAUACCAAUUACUUUCUGUAUUUACCAUGUUUAGAGCGACUUCAUGUCAAAAAUUAAUAACGCUAAAAUAAAGAGCAGCACUGGUGUGUGCUAAAGGGGAAGGAAAGCAGGCUAAUAGAAUGUGUGAUAGAGAAGGAAGGUGAAUUUGCAGCUGCAGGGAUCGCAUCCAGAUGAAUUUCACGGUGUGCAAUGGCAGGGGUCCCACUGAGGCCCCCGUGCUCUUUAAGGCACACUUCAGGCAGAGAUAAGUGUAUCUUGAGAGGUGCAGCGCCUAAGUAAUUUCACCC